This is an RNA transcript of Papaver somniferum (opium poppy), 1773 nucleotides long. RefSeq lists it as uncharacterized. The transcript has 8 exons. The record is from RefSeq and is a predicted model, not a curated record. NCBI's taxonomy places the organism in Eukaryota, Viridiplantae, Streptophyta, Magnoliopsida, Ranunculales, Papaveraceae.
CCCACGAUCUACAACCCCACCCUCAUCCCACUGGACUCCCACUUCCUUGUCUCUCAUCCUUAUGUUCAAGGGAAAUCAUUCCUUCUCUCUGUCAUUCAAACUAAAAUAAUUUUUUUCCCUAUAAUUCCAUUUCAAUCUGAUUUCAUUUUGCAAUGGAGUUUGAAUCAGAAGUUCCAAGCGGUAUUAUCUCUCUUUAGAUCUCUAUUGUUCAAAUUUUCGCAUCAAACCUAGAUGCAGUAAACAACAAGUAUUUCGUUCAAAGGAUUGGGGUUUUCUGUUUUAAUCGAUUUAAUGCAAACCAAUUUGAUGGGGAAACUGGUGUCGAUUAAUUUCAAGCGGCUUGAUUUUUUUUCUGAGAGUGGAAGAUCCAUUUAAGGCAAAGCUCAGAAUGACAAGUAGUCCAGUUUACACAUCAGAAUAGCUUCCAUGGUGCUUUGUUAGUGAAGGAAAAAAUCGGGUUCCUCUUCCUGAUCAGAAUGAUUUAUUUAACCUUGAUCAAAGCUGGUCUAGGUAUUUUAAACACAAUUUUCUUAUCAUUCAGUUUUAUGUGGUCGAUUUGGAGGUAACUUUUUAUCUCCUCAGUGGAGAUAUUCAAUAUCUAUGUAGUUUCAGUAUUCCAUAUCGUGCUGACUUUUAAGUUUUCUGAUUUCUUGUCGAGGUGUUGCUAAGCUUAUAGUUAACAGUCCAUGUAAGGAUGAGUAUCCAAUUUUAAUAUAUAUAUCAUCUUUCUUCACAUGAUCGUUCAGUACUGAGUACUGUCUUUAUUGUAGCCGGUUCUGUUUUACUAAAUAUGAACCAUAUUAUAUCUAAUAUGGGAAGUUGUUUUUUUCUAUAGAUGCGGGAUAUAACCAAGUUUAAAGUUAUUAAUAGACUAUGGCUUUGUUGAUGAAGAUAAUUCUUAUGGUUACAUUUUAUUGAGGCAUCCUAAACACCAAAGAUCCUCAAUACCAUGAUAAGGUAUGGGCUGCUCAACCAAAUGAAAAACUGGUUAAUGGAUAUACAAGUCUUACGGGUUACCAAAAGAUGACACACAUCUUGACAUCUUUAACUGGUGAAAAAGUGCUUGUCAAUCCGGAGAGAGGCUGUAUUUUGCGUUUGACUAUGUCAAUUUGUUAGAAAGGACCAUUUUGCGUGUGGAAGUGAAAGAUACUUGCAUAAACUUUGAGCUAGGAAGCGGAUACCACAACAUGUCAAGUUUGUACUGGAGAACCCGAAAGGGGUAUUCUACUGAGAGUUUUCCUUUAAGGGAGGCUUGGGACUGGAAAUACAUAACUUCAAAAGCAUGGCACGCUCAUUAUGCUGACAUUAAAAAUCCUUUCAAGAAGAAACUGUCCCUGAAGUAAGCCUACCUGCUAAAUGCUAAACUGUCAGGUCCGUGAAGUAAUCAAACUUCGAAUGACACUUAAUUCCUUGGAAAGAAAAGUUUGUAUUUCUGAAGGUACCACUUUUGGCCACAUGCUGAUGUUCCAUUUUCUUUGGUAAUCCUGGCACACGUCAAGGGGAAGUCACCGGUUUUGACUUUACCAGUGUAUUAGUACGUACUAUAUCUUCGCUCGGAGGUUCGCAAGCUAACAUCAGUGCUGCCAUCAUGAUUGUUUUUUGUUUUGUAUAGCUGGAAUAAGAGAAAACUUUUAAACAUUUCUAUAGGUGUCACUGAACGGUUUAUGCAUCUUACAAUGCUUGCUUAAGCUUUUGUGAUUGGCUUCGAUGAAGAUUUAGAAAUUUCAAUGAAACAUAAGACCUUGUAUUGUAAAUUGACUUGUACUUUUUUUU